Molecule: ribosomal RNA, 430 nt
Filed under: bacterium
Lineage: Bacteria
Description: partial 16S ribosomal RNA
Rfam family: Bacterial small subunit ribosomal RNA
Source: RNAcentral
UGGGGAAUAUUGGACAAUGGGGGGAACCCUGAUCCAGCCAUGCCGCGUGUGUGAAAAAGGCCUUAUGGUUGUAAAGCACUUUAAGCGAGGAGGAGGCUCUCUUGGUUAAUACCCAAGAUGAGUGGACGUUACUCGCAGAAUAAGCACCGGCUAACUCUGUGCCAGCAGCCGCGGUAAUACAGAGGGUGCGAGCGUUAAUCGGAUUUACUGGGCGUAAAGCGUGCGUAGGCGGCUUUUUAAGUCGGAUGUGAAAUCCCCGAGCUUAACUUGGGAAUUGCAUUCGAUACUGGGAAGCUAGAGUAUGGGAGAGGAUGGUAGAAUUCCAGGUGUAGCGGUGAAAUGCGUAGAGAUCUGGAGGAAUACCGAUGGCGAAGGCAGCCAUCUGGCCUAAUACUGACGCUGAGGUACGAAAGCAUGGGGAGCAAACAGG